Labeo rohita (rohu) is the source of this 413-nucleotide long non-coding RNA. RefSeq lists it as uncharacterized. NCBI's taxonomy places the organism in Eukaryota, Metazoa, Chordata, Actinopteri, Cypriniformes, Cyprinidae. The record is from RefSeq and is a predicted model, not a curated record. The transcript is spliced from 3 exons.
AUUUCUCGGCCAUCCACCUUCACCUCCAUUGGAGGAAAUUCCCGGUGUAAAGUCACCUUUGCUAACGGAGAAGUCACCUGACAGGGCAGGACGGUGGGCCAGUUAGUGCGAAGCUGAAUGAUCUCAUAAUAGUCAGCAGAAGAUAUGCAGGAACAGCCCACUGGACAGGAUUUCCUUUACAUCUCAGCUCUAACGUAUCACCUGCUUGGACAGUCAGCGUGUUCCCCACUUUCUGGAACCUUCCCUUGUUUACCACCUGAGUGAGAGCGCACAGGGACCCGACUGCCACAACGUACUUUGCAGCAGCCCAGCCAAUGUAAGCAAAGGCCACAGGCAAAGGACUCUGAAUGCUAAGUCGGUAGUAUGGCAUCAUCAAAGUGAGAGCAGCCGAAACCCCAAAGUACGCCAAGAAA